UGUGUAGGCGGCCUUCUAAGUUUGGUGUGAAAUCUCCCGGCUCAACCGGGAGGGUGCGCCGAAGACUGGGGGGCUAGAGUGCGGGAUGGGAGAGUAGAAUUCCUGGUGUAGCGGUGAAAUGCGUAGAUAUCAGGAGGAAUACCUGUGGUGUAGACGGCUCUCUGGACCGCAACCGACGCUGAGACACGAAAGCGUGGGUAAGCAAACA
This 208-nucleotide ribosomal RNA is filed under the name uncultured bacterium. Its description in RNAcentral is "partial 16S ribosomal RNA". It matches the Rfam family "Bacterial small subunit ribosomal RNA", at positions 568 to 774 of the family's 1533-position model. The record is from RNAcentral.